CAAAUAUAAUAUUUUUUAAGAAUAAAUAGAAAAAAUUGAUAUAACUUAACACCAGCUCUCGUUAUGGUCUUGAUGGCAUGGUGCUUGCUUGUUCUCCAUGUCGUCAAGGCCUGUCUUCGAGAAGCGUCGGUACCAGAGGCUACAAUAGCAAUCAAAACAAAAUUACAGAAUCUGUAUCUUCUGCUUUGAAAUAGAGGUAUUCCAAAAUACCUCUCUUUUAUCCCAUAAUAAUAAUAAUAAGGAAAAUUAACAAAUUUCCAUAUGCCAUACCAUCACAUCCUUUUUUUUUUUUUUUUUGUAAAAGUCCAUUUAGUCCAUGUAUUUUAAUAUCAGUAUUCAUUUACUCUUUAUAUUUUUAAAAAUGUCUCGAAACAUCUCUGCCAUUAAAGUAUUGAUACCUCUACCGUUACUUUUUAUUUCUUUUGACUUACUUUUAUAAUAUUACCCUUUUACAAUAAUUUUUUAUUUGAACAUUAAUAAAAAAAUAAUUAAAUUACCAAUUUAACCCAGAAAAUUAAAAAAUUAUAUUAAUUUUUUGUAAGCACCAUUUGCACACUUGGUAGUUUGCAUACAAUUUUUGACAAUUAAAAAUUAAUAUAAUUUUUUUAUUUUUAGGGUUAAAUUGAUAAUUUAAUUAUUUUAUUUUAUUUAUUAAUGUCCAAACAAAAAAAUUAUUAUGAAAGGGUAAUAUUGUAAAAGUAAGCAAAAUGAAAUAAAAAGUAACGGUCGGGAUAUUAAAUUGGUAAUUUAAUUAUUUUCUUUUUUAUUAAUGUCCAAAUAAAAAAUAUAUAUGAUAAAAUGGUACUAUUGUAAAUGUAAGCGAAAAGAAAUAAAAAGUAACGGUAAGAAUAUUAAAACUUUAAUGGUAGGAAUGUUUCGAGGUAUUUUCAAAAAUAUAGAGACUAAAUAGAUACUAAUCUUAAAAUACAGGGACUAAAUGAGCUUUUACCUUUUUUUUUUGUUCAUUAUUUCAAAAUACCAAAGCAUCUUUUCAAAACAAGCUCAUCAUCAACUUGUUGAUAAUCAGAAAUUCUUUAUCAUCAAUUCAUUGCCAGAUUAAGCAUUACAGGAAACUAAGUGCCAUCAUGCUGUGUCCAAGUCUUCAAAUUAAUCCAUCAUUAUUUUCCUAAAAACAAGUAAACAACAAAGACUAAGCGACAAAUAAGUAAACAUCCAACUAAAGCUCCUUUUUUUACAAUUUUGCCUUUCCCAUUCAAUUGCAGGCAUUCUUUUUGUAUCAUACGGAACUUCAAUUUAAAAGUAAUUUGACACGGUUUAUAAUCCAUUUAGCAUGGUUUUAAUUUUUGAGAACAGCAACAGCUGGUGGCCAGUUCUAGGGAUGGCAAUUGUGAUUGUAAACCCGCAAAUUCGUCUAAACUCACUCGCCAAAAUCUGCCUGCUAUGGAUAAUUUUGCGGGUUGCAGGCGGGUUUGGUAUUAAUCCAAUAUCUGACGGAUACCUGCAUGGAUAUUCGCUAGACCCGUAAUAUUUUUUAAAUAUUUUAAAUUUAAUUUUAAUUGAAAAAAAAAUUAAAUCUAAAAAAUAUAUAAAGAAAAUAAUACAAUUAUGCAAAGUGCCAAAUACCCAAAUUGUUUUUGUAUGGACUAUUCUUUUUAACUUAAUGCAUGAAUUAUUUAGUUAUUAUAAUUUUUUUUUGGAUUUAUAUUUGAAAAGUAUUAUUCUUUGGAAAAUAUUAAUUUUAAUCAUUAUCAUAGGUAUCAUGUUAAAUAAGUGUGCUAAUGAUGGUGAAUGAAAUGUAGAUCUUCUCUUUGAGCUUGUGUUGAAUGAUAAUAUGAAAUGUAAUGUUAUUUUUAGAUGUUAGUCUGUGGGUUUUUUUAGUGGAUUUGUGUAUUUUAUAUUUAAAUUUGAUAAUUUGUGUUGGAUUAUUGUUUAAAUUUUAAUUUUUAUUUAAUUGGUUAAAUUUAAAAUUGAGUAUGUUAUGUGAAAUUUGAGGUUAUUAUUGUAAAUUUAUAUAUUGAACAUUUGUGAUUUUAAAUGUACAAACCCGCAAAAAAUUUGUCAGAUACCAUUGCAGAUUUAGUAAUUGUCAAAACCUGCAGCAGGUGGAUUUUCUUAAAAAAAUUAAAAUCCGCUGCGGUUUGCGGGUGGGUUUGGUAAUUUAAAUUUUGUGCGGGUUUGUGUUUGUGUUUGGUAAUAAUAAACCCGCUACAGCCGGUGCCCAUUGCCAUCCCUAACUAGUUCAUAUCUUUUUCUUAUAUAAACACUCUGCUCGGAUGGUCUCUUAGUGUCAAUUACAUUUUUCUCUUUUUAACAAACUACUCCAAUUCAAAAUCUCUCCGUUCUUCCAUUUCACCAAACUUUCUCGAGAAAAAUUUUAAUUUAAUGAAUCUUUUUUCUCUUUUCUAUAGAUUUACACACACAAAAAAAAAAAUGUAAUCUCAGUCUAAUGAAGAGAAUUAUAUAAUUGCAGUGUGUUGAGAAAAGAGAAAAAUUAUGUACUCCUUCAUUUACUAAAAAAACACAUUAAAGAUCUAAAGCAUAUAUUUAAAAAUACUACAAAAUUAAAUACAUUGCAUUAGAUUGUAUUUAUUUUAGCAUAUCCUUAACUUUAAUAUAGAUAAUAAUUUCUUAUUGAAAAUAAUAAUAAUAAUAAUAAUAAUAAUAAUAAUAAUAAUAAUAAUAAUUAUUAUUAUUAUUAUUAUUAUUAUUAUUAUUAUUAUUAUUAUUAUUAUUAUAUGUUGCAUAUUCUUUAGUGAUAUUUUUGUUUCAUUAAGUGAUUCUUUAAUUUUAAAUUUAUGCAAAAAGUCAAAUGUUAUUUAAUUGUUUUUGACAUUUUUAUUUUAAAUGGUUUGUAUUUAUUUACCUGAAAAUCCUAUUUUGCCUUCAAUAAAUUAUAAAGUAAAUUAAUUGUAAAUUCACGGAAAGGCAUUUUGGCUUAUUAUUUAGAUAAUAAGAAUGAAAUGGGCUAUUGUUUGAAAAAAAAAAAAAAGGAUUAUUGUAUCAAAGCCCAUGAAUGAAAAAGGUUUUUUUUCAUUUUUAUAAUGCAUUACAUUAUUUGCCUUAAUUUAUUUUUCAAAUUUAUAAUUCAAAGCUUGCAACAAAAUCUAAAAAAACUUGUAUUUUAUCAGGAGACCUAUCAGAUUUUAGCCAUUAUUUAGGUCUUCAUCAAAUAUGCAUUUCUUUAUUUUAGAUUUUUUUGUGACAUAAGUAUUAUCUUUCUUACUUUAGUAAUUUUUAGCAUCAACUAUUAUACGUUUCAAACGCUAGAAUACCAAUUUUUCUUUGUUAAUGUAUACCUUUACAAUCGAUGAUGCUAUGUCGAAUCCAGCAUUUACUUUUUCUCAAAAAUUUUACUAUUUAUAUAAUUUAAUUAUGUAAAAAAAAUGCAAAAAUGUCUCCAUAAUUGUUACUUCCCCAAUAUUAUUAUUCAUGACCGUAAUUUUGCACGUACUGAAAAUAAAUAAGCCACAACAACAAUAGUAUACAGUAUCUCUAUCACACAUCUUUCGAGUGUUCUGUACAUGUUAUAUAUGAAAGUAUGCAUGUAUUAUUUUUUUUAAUGACUGUGCAUAGAUGAAAUGUUGUUGAAAAGUGUUCUUUUUUUUUUUCAAUUUUUUGUGUCACAUGGUAAUGUCAAGCUGAUUUUUGGUUCCAGUAACAUGAGUUGUGCAGGCAAAAGAAAAGAAAAAAAGAUGUAUGCCAGCAUCACCAAUCUUCUUAUGAACUUGGUGGUAUGGUGCUUGGAGCACCUUACAACUUGGUCUUAGGUUCGAGAAGAUUGGUAGCCAAAUUCAGUCCCACUCCAUUAUGAUCCCCCCAUCAUCAUCAUAUCCAACGUUCCAAUUUAAAUGAGGUAUUCGAAAAUACCUUCUUUUUGUCACAAAAGUUCCUUUAUUCUUUUUCAAGUAAUAUAUGAGAAAACAGGAUCACAAGUAUAUGAUUUCAUCAUUUCUUCUUAGCUAAAAUCUCCCAAUUCAAAAUAUAUUAGAUGAAUUGAUUAUGUUGCACAUCAUGUCAUUUUCUUUUCGCUUCAUUUGUACAUGAGGAGGAAGUAAUACUCUUUUAGUUAGUCUUAAAAUUUGAGGUAAUUACUCAAUUAAUUUAUAUGUCGUUAAUUUCCUAAUUGUUGAUCUAGGUUUUUAAGGUAAAAUAAUAAUUCUAUUUGAAAUAAUUAUAAAUUGAAAUAAAGUUGAUGUGCAACAUGUGAAAAGUAGCGAUAGAUACUUAAAUUAAAUGCUCAUUGUGUGUCAUUAUUAAAAUUAACAAGAAAAUUCACAAACCACAAAAAAUUGUACGACUAAGAAUUAUGUUUACACCGUGAUGAAGAAAAUGGGUGUGAAUGACCUUUUAACAUAAUGGAAAAAUAAACUAAUAAAUUUUACAGAACAAAGAAUAAAAUAAAACACAAUUAAUUACCGGCUCUCAUCAUGAUCUUGUUGGUAUGGUGCCUACAUGUUCAUCAUGUCACCAACCAUGAGUUUGAGGAGAGCUAGUAUCAUCAAACUAGAAGCAAUGAACAGGAUGUAUAUAUCAUUGCCAUUAAAUACACCCUUUUUUUUUUAUCACAAAUGCAAAAAAGUUAUUAAAAUGUGUGCACAGACCUUCUUUUAUUAAUCCUUUUUAUUUGUUUAAGGACAUCGAACCACAUCGAACGUAGAAUAGCAGUUAUUUUUUUUUUUUUUUUGAGAUAUGUAAUAGUGAGAUUUAUAUUACGAACGCAGUAAUAAUAAAGCCACGCAUAUAAUGGUGAUCUUAAUGAUCUAAGUUGAAAAGAAGUCUAUGCAUCCAUUUAUGAAAUAUUAAAUGUAACGACUUGUAUAUUAAAAGUAACUUUGAAGGGAUAUAAAUAUCUUUUCCCAAUUUAGAAUUAAAAAGGUUUUUUAUUUUUUAUUUUUGCAAGGUUAUGCUUUAUUCACAUCAGUUGAGAUUGAAGAAAUUUCCAGUUGGCUUGCAUUAUGUGAAAGAGUAUUAAUUACUGUCACAAAUAUGAGAGUAUAUAGUCGCAUUUGCACAUGCCAAGGACAUUAAUAAAUGAAACAAUAACACAAAUCUUUUUUUUUUCUAAGGCUCACCUUGAUCAGCCUGAAUGCAAUGGAAAUUUUGCUAAGUCAUUUUAAGUGAUUGCCUCGGAACAAAAUAAAAGCUGAUUCAUUUGCGGCAUAGCCCACCUAUUAUCCCGCGAGAUAUCAAGCAGGCAAACGGGAUUCUGAUGAUGAUAUUGAUUCCAGGAUUACAGAUUUUGGGCUUGUAGAGGCAAUGCCUGCUGCUCAUACACAUAUCAAUGCUUUGAAUGUUGCCGGGACUGCGGAAUACAUAGACCAGGAGUGUCAUCUGAGGGGAUAUUUACAAGUGUGAUUUAUACAGCUUAAUGAGGAAAUGCAUGAGUUUGGUCAAAUGAAUGAGAAAUGAUAUGACUUCUGAGGAUUGUAUUCAAACCAUUGAUCCUGAAGCUCCUAGGAAAGCGGUUAGUGGAACAAGAACGUAAACGGAGGCUUCAAAUGCAUUUUGUUUCUUCUUUUUUUUUUCUCUGUGCACUGUCUAUACAGUGAUAAAUUUACUGAAUAUAUAUGCCUAUUGCCCAAAACUACAAGAUCAAAGAGAGUAAUGCACAUAAAUUUGUAUUUCAUCCUUUGCUGUUAAUGCAAGGGCUGAGAUUUCAGGGUGAAUAAUACUGAUACAAAAGUAAUGGGGUUGAUUAUAUACUUCAGUUUUAUUAACUGUUCAAUCCAGACCUUAAUUUUUUAAUUCCAAUCUUGACCAUUAAUCUUCUUAAAUCAUAACACAUUUCAUCCUUCUAGAAGCAUCAUGAACUAUCUUGUUGAAUGCUCGCUGGUGACUGUUUAGCUCCUAAAUUUAAUACUCGCCAAGAGACACUUCAUUUAGGCAUUUCAUCAGACGGUUUUAUACUUCCAUCAAACGAUUGUUGCUUUAACUAUUUUUUAAAAAAAAGGUUUGUUGACUGUUGAUAUCACCAAACCUCUUAGAACUCAGUGUUAUGCUGCUUCAAGAACCAUCUAACUUGGAAUUAUGUUCGAGAAGGUUGGUAGCUAAAUUUAGUUCAGCUCCGUUAUGAUCCAUCUUCAUCAUAUACAACUUCAAUUAAUGAGCCAUUCGAAAAUCAAUAAUCUUAUGUAUACUUAAUUGGGAUAUUUAAUUUAUAUUUUAGUAGUGUGACAAAUGAUACGUUAUUAUUUGAUUGGUUCAAAUGAUAAUUAAUUAUUAAGUCUUAUAAUAUUUUAUUCAAAUGGUGAAAUUUUUUUAGUGAUACAUCAUACAUUAGUUGAGAUAUAAAUUAAAAUAUUCUAAGUAAGUACAACAUCACUCUUUAAAAAUUAACUUGUUUUAAAUGCAAUUUGUUUAAAAUUCUUUUUCAAAUAAUAUAUGAAAAAAGCAUUGGUUUCAUUUCAUCAUUUAUUUUUAAUUCAGAAGUUAGAAGUCAAAAUAUAACAGAUAUUACAGAACAAAAUAUAAAAUAUGAGACAAUUUGCCACCGGCUCUCAUCGCGAUCUUGUGGGUUUGGUGGCUUUAGGUUCUGCAUGUCACUAAUCGCGAGUUCGAGGAGAGCUGGUACCAAACUGGAAGCAACGUACGGGAACCAUAUAUAUACAAAUAUAUAUUCUUCCACAAAAAGAGGUAUUACAAAGUACCUUCUUUUUGCAACAAAUGCAAAAAGUUUAUUUUCUAUUGAUUUCUUAUUAAUAAGAGAUUUGAAAAGUACAAACACCUUAUUAUAUAUAAGCCUACUUUCUUUUGUUUGAGGUUAUCAAACCUUUAGUCAUAAUCUUUUUUUACUUUUUUUUUUGUCAUCUAUACAACGAUAAGAUUUACAUAAUGAAAUAAGUAACAAUAAAACCACACAUACGGAGUUGAUCUUAGUGAUCCAAGAUGAAAUGGAAUUUGUGUAUCUAUUCAUAAAAUGUUAAGUGUAAUGACAUUUUUAUUAUGGCAAAUUUUGAGAAUAUAAACGUCCUUUUUCCUGCGUUAGAGACUUUUGGUGGGUAUUUAUAAAAAUAUACUUUAAUCACAUCACUAGAGAUUGAAGAAAUUUGAGAUCUUACGAAGGAAUUAUAUCUUUUCUAAAAGAAAAAAAAAAUACAAUAAUCUUAGUAACAGUUUGAUAAUACUAUAACUUUUGUAAUAAUUAUUGUUAAUUGUGUUGUAGAAAUAAUAAGUUGAGAAGAAAUCAAUUAAAUGUUUAGUAAUAUUUAUUUUAAAAGUACCUUGGGUUUUGAGAGUAAUCGUAUAUAUUUAGUAAAUUUUUCUAUUAAAUUACUGUAAGAAUAUAAAUUGCUGUCAAAUAAAAUUUAUUUAUAUAUUUAUAAACAUGUAUGUAAAAUAUUUUUGUUGUAUAUAUAAUAAUUGAUAACUAAAAUAAAUAUAUCUAUAUGAUUAAUUUGAUUUUUAUUUUGUUAUCCCAGUGUAAUUGUCAAUAAUAAUAACCCCUUUAAUUUUAACGAUUUAUCCUAAUCAGUAAGGAUAAUUUUUGGAUUUUUAGAAUACUGUGAUGAUAUUUAUAAAAUUAUAUUAAGUAUAAAAAUGGUUUAAAAUCAGAUUUUGAAAAUAAACUCAUUUCCUACUUUUUCAAAAUAUGCUAUAGAAUAUGGUAGUUUGCCAAUUUUUUUUUUAAAUUUAUCAAAUAUCAAAAUUAACUUUUAGCUUUUCAAAAAGACUUUUAAGCCUUCCAAAUGUAAUUCCAAAUGGACCCUCACUAUUUGAAUAUGAUCGGAAAAAAUAAUAUUAUAUUAAAAAAUCAAAAGUAAUAAUUUAUAGCAUUAAGGUGUCGUUUAUUCUUUUGUCUACAAUUUGAAUGGGUCUAAAUUUUUCUAAGGUCUAAAUAUAAAUGUCCAAAUGACAUUUUUUUUAAAUGUCUCAAUAUAUGUGGUGUCUUGUGUGUUUUUGUGAAUAAAAAAAUCUUAAAUACGAUUUUUGAUAUUUAUAUUCUUAUAAAUCAAAAGAGAGAGAGAGAGAGAUUAGGUUUUAUAACUUAAUAAGUUAGUAUACUUAAUACAUAUUUAUUUUCUAUUUUGAUAAAAAAUCACAAAAAAUUAUUUUUUCUUCAGUUAAAAAAAAGAAAAUUUAAAAAAAGUAUGAAAUUAAUAAAAUUUUCAGACUUGACGUUUUAUAGAUAGAAGCCAUUUUAAUUUAAGACAUAACUUAAUUGAAGAGAGGUAUACAAACCUAUGUUUUCUUUAAGACAUAAACUUAAUUAAAUUCAUUUGAGACCACUUAUGGCUACCAUAUAAACUUAUUUGAUAACUAGGCAAAUGAAGUUACUUUCCAAGCAUUAAAAAUAAUAUUUUUCUUUUUGAUAAAUAAACUUGCCAAAAUUUAAUUUCAUUGGGAUAACUUAUUUGAUGUUUUCCAAUUAUAUGCGAGUAUAUAGUAAACAAAACUAUUUAUUGAGAAAAGCUUUGUUCAAUCUUUGUCUUAUUUUGUUAGAUUUAUAAGGAAUUGCUUUAGUCACAGCGCUUGAGAUUGAAAAUCAAAAUUGAGAUAUUACGUAAUAAUGUAGUAAACUAGGAAAAAUAAUCAAACAUAUAUGUUGAAUUUGAAUUAUUGGAAGCACAGAUGUUGGAGUGUGUGUGUGUGUAUAAAUGUGAAGUAAGUGACUUAAAUGACUGCCAACUCUCGUGUCUUAGUGGCAUUGGGACUUCCUAAUAAUUAUUUCACCUUGUCAUCGAGUCCUGCUUUCGAUAAGCGUUGGUACCAGAAGCUAGCAAAGUAUCUGUCUCUGCUUUAAAAUAGAGGUAUUCUAAAAUACCUCUUUUUCAUUAUAUAUAUAUUUACUUAAAUCUUAUUUAAAAAAGUAAAAAAUUAUCUUUGAUUUUCGUUGAAAAUUUAUUAAUUCGAUUGAAUAUAAAAUUUUCAUACCCUUUUGUCCAUCUCUUGCUUCCAUUUUACAAGUCAAAUUAGGGGACUCUCUUGAGAUAAUGAUAUAUACAGUUCAUUAAUUAGUUUUUAAAAUAUAACUUGUUAAUAUUUGAUUUUAAAUUAUAACUCAACGCAGUUUAAUUCAAUUUAAAUUUAACAGAAUUUUGGUAUAUUCUACUCAUUUGGUUGGCCUCUCUUGUUGUUGGAGAAAAAGGUCACGGGCUCAAUUCUAAAGUUAUAUAUAUCAUACAUUUAUAUGAAUUAUGACCGUCAUGUUGUAGUUUGGCAAGUCAUGAGUGUGCUUUAUGCGUCUAGUUGUCUGAGUUCUAAUUAAUAAGAAUAUGAAUAAUAAUUUGGUGUACUUAGGGAUACAUUAUAUCAUUUCUUUUGGAACUAUUUUAACAACAAUGAUGGCAUGUCAUGGUGCAUAGUUUGGAGUGCUUCAGCAAGUAUGAAGGUUUCGGAAGAAACAAAGGAAACAGAGUCUUCUAUCAUCAAAACUAAUAUUACGAGUUAUACAAGUUUUUACCUUAAAGUAAUACUGUGUAUAGUUCAAUCAUCAGAAGCUGUUAUGAUUAGAAGCUCAUGGUGAAUGCAAAUUGCAGUAACAUUGUGAGAGACCGGCCUUCUAAGAUUCGAACAUAGGUUUUGGUUUCAUAAUCCCACCCCUAUUAACUUAUAAUUUUUGCAAAAAAAAUAUAAAACACAGUGAAAAAAAAAAUCAAUGUUUCACAGCCCAUACCCCGGGGUUGAUCUGGAAUUGAGCCUUAUAUGAGCCUUAAAAUGCCGUACACAAUAAUGCAUAUCAGUAAAAGCAGAGAGGAAUCGAUUGAAAGCUACAUGUCAAAGAUACAGAGAAGAAACAAUAUCUACAUUCAUUACAUACAGAUUAAAACACCAAAAAUCAAAGAAAAGAAAAAGUAUUCCAACAAUAAUUAUGUCUCUAAUAUUUAUGAGCUUAGUUACAAUUUCUUUUGGGUCGAUCCUCUAGUAAUUCACUUUGUGCAUUCAGGGUAUGUUUACUUCUUAAAUUAGGGAAUGAGAAUGAGGAAUUAUUACCUUUGUGUGUAUUUAUUUAUAAAAAAAUGAAUCAAUGAAUGAGAAUUAAAAUGGUGAUAACCACUAAAUUUAAAAAUAAGAAAUGAAAAACUCAUUUCCAUAAGUAUACAAGAUAGUAGUAGAACAACAACAACUACUACUAAGGAAUUUUAUAAACUUAUAACAAUCUAUUCCGAUUCUGAUAAACACAUCAAUGGAAGUACAUUUCAUUAUGAUUUUUAUUCAUACAACUUAAGUAAACAACUUAUUUUGAUUUAUAUUUCUUAUUUCAAUUCAAAUAUAUUCCAAUUACCACGAAGUAAACACAGCAGUAGCGAAAGUCAAGACUAAAGUGUCGCGGGCAUAGAUUUUAAUAGUGAUAAGUAAUAUUUAUCUUUAACAUUAGUUGAGUGAGUGCAAUUAGUAUUUAGAAUGGGUGUAAAGAAAGUACAACGAAAAAUGUAAUGUGCAAUUAAUUUCUGUUUAUCGCGAUCUUGCUCUUAGUUUUGAAAUCUAAUCCCAAAAAUUACGAUACACCUAUGAGUACACAAACAUAGCCCAGAAACGACGUUGCUUCUUCUUCUCCCUCAUCUGUUGUUGCUGCACGUUGCUUCUUCUUCUUCACUCAAUUUUUUUCAACAUCAUGAAUCUGCGGUACUUUUUAUACUUUUUUCACCAGAUUUUUAUCUCAUUAAAAGAGAAUUUUGGGCGUACGAUUAUUAGGGUUACAUUUGUUUGAUCAAAGUUGAAAUUUCCAUUAAUAUUUGAAAUUAAUUGGUGAAUUAAAUUUAUGAUCCGUGUGUGAAUUAUUGAAAUUAACUCUUCCAAAACUUUUUUUUUCUAAAUUUUAUUGCGGGCUGAUUUAGAGUUGAUUAAUCUUAGGGGUCUUUUGUAAUAUUUUUAAAGUUUAGGUCGCUCUAUAAUUAGAUGUGAGCUCUAAGAUUAAUAUUUAAUUAAAUGUGAGCUCUAAGAUUAAUAUUUUCUAUAGACUAAUGCUUUCUAAACACUAAUAAAGACAUAGAUGAGAUGAGAGAAUAGAGAUCGAUUCCUUUAGUUUAAGUUAGGACAUUAGGCUUAGGCACGCUACAUGCACGUUUACAUUUAUUCACUAAUAUAUUUUUAGGCUUAUAUAUUUUUAAUUAAAAUUUAAAAAAUAUUUUUAAAAAAAUGCAAGUCUGAAUACCCAUGCUGUUAUGCACUAAAUAUUUGGCAUAUACCAAACACACCGGCAACUUCGUAUGGGUUUUAGUUUAAGAUACCAUACCCGCCCGCAACACACAAAAUUACCCAUAAAGAGUAGGCUUUGGCGGGCGGAUUUGGUUGGGUUUGUAUGUUUGUAGGUACCAUUGCCAUCCCUAGUUCUAGAAGAGAUGACAAGUUGCCUAUUUUUGCCUUCAGCUACAACCUUCUGUGAACUGAGCAUUCGAGUGGAAAUGUACCAAAUACUAUCUUAGACGAUGGCCUCGGGAGGUCUAUUGCCAAAACAUAGAAAACUAAAAACUUAGAUCCUAAUAUAUAAACCGGCAAAGUGAAUUUGAUAUUUGUCAAUUUAUGUACACACACAUUAAUCAAAACUAUUUAUUGAAAAAAAAAAGAUUUUUUCCAAUCUUUUCUCAUGUUAAUUAGAUUUAUAAGGGCUUGCUUUUUAUUCACAUCACUUGAGAUUAAAAAAAAAUUGAGAUAUAUAUAUAUAUAUAUAUAUAUAUAUAUAUAUAUAUAUAUAUAUAUAUAUUACUUAAUCAAACCAUAUAUACUUUGCAUGUGAAUUAAUGGAAAAACAAAUAUAAUAUUUUUUAAGAAUAAAUAGAAAAAAUUGAUAUAACUUAACACCACCUCUCGUUAUGGUCUUGAUGGCAUGGUGCUUGCUUGUUCGCCAUGUCGUCAAGGCCUGUCUUCGAGAAGCGUCGGUACCAGAAGCUACAAUAGAAACCAAAACAAAAUGCAAGUACCUGUAUGUUCUGCUUUGAAAUAGAGGUAUUCUAAAAUACCUCUCUUCUAUCCGAAAAAAAUAAUAAUAAUAAGGAAAAAUAACAAAUUUCCAUAUGUCAUACCAUGACAUCCUUUCUUUCUUUUUUUGGUGUUCAUUAUUUCAAAAUACCAAAGCAUCUUUUCCAAAACAAGCACCUCAUCAACUUGUUGAUAAUCAGAAAUUCUUUAUCAUCAAUUCAUUGCCAGAUUAAGCAUUACAGGAAACUAAGCGCCAUCAUGCUGUUGUCCAUGUCUUCAAUUAAUCCAUCAUUAUUUUCCUAAAAACAAGUAAACAACAAAGACUAAGCGACAAAUAAGUAAACAUCCAACUAAAGCUGUUUUUUUUUACAAUUUUGCCUUUCCCAUUCAAUUGCAGGCGCUCUUUUUGUAUCAUACGGAACUUCAAUUUAAAAGUAAUUUGACACGGUUUAUAAUCCAUUUAGCAUGGUUUUAAUUUUUGAGAACAGCAACAGCUGGUGGCCAGUUCUAGGGAUGGCAAUUGUGCCCACAAACCCGAAAAUUUGUCCAAACCCACCCGCCAAAAUCUGCCCGCUACGGAUAAUCUUGUGGGUUGCGGGCGAGUUUGGUAUUACAAAUUGAAACCCGCACUUAGAUGCGGGUGGGUUUGGUAUUAAUCCAAUAUCUGACGGAUACCCGCAUGGAUAUCCGCUAGACCCGUAAUUUUUUAAAUAUUUUUAAUUUAAUUUUAAUUGAAAAAAAUAUUUAAAUCUAAAAAAUAUAUAAACAACAUAAUACAAUUAUGAAAAGUACCAAAUAACCAAAGUGUUUUUGUAUUGACUAUUUUUCUUUAACUUAAUGCAUGAAUUAUUUCAUCAUUAUAAACUUUUUUUGGAUUAAUAUUUGAAAAUUAUUAUUCUUUGGAAAAUAUUAAUUUUAAACAUUAUCGUAGGCAUCAUGUUAGAUAGGUGUGCUAAUGAUGGUGAAUGAAAUGGAAAUAUUCUCUUUGAGCUUGUGUUGAAUGAUAAUAUGAAAUGUAAUUGUUAUUUUUAGAUGUUAGUUUGUGGGUUUUUUUAGUGUAUUUGUGUAUUUUAUACUUAAAUUUGAUCAUUUGUGUUGGAUUGAUGUUUAAAUUUAAAUUUUUUAUUUAAUUGGUUAAAUUUAAAAUUGAGUAUGUUAUGUGAAAUUUGAGGUUAUUAUUGUAAAUUUAUAUAUUGAAUGUACAAACCCGCAAAAAAUUUGUCAGAUAUCAUUGCAGGUUUGGUAAUUGUCAAAACCCUCAGUGGGUGGAUUUUCUUAAAAAAAUUAAAACCCGCUGCGAGCGGCGCCCAUUACCAUCCCUAACCAGUUCAUAUCUUUUUCCUAUAUAAACACUCUGCUUGAAUUGUCUCUUAGUGUCAAUUACAUUUAUCUCUUUUUUACAAACUACUCCAAUUCAAAAUCUCUAUGUUCUUCCAUUUCACCAAACUUUCUCGAGAAAAAUUUUAAUUUAAUGAAUCUUUUUUCUCUUUUCUAUAGAUUUACACAAAAAGAAAAAUGUAAUUUCAGUCUAAUGAAGAGAAUUAUAUAAUUGCAGUGUGUUGAGAAAAGAGAAAAAUUAUGUACUCCUUCAUUUAUUUAAAAAAAAACACAUUAAAGAUCUAAAGCAUAUAUUUAAAAAUACUACAAAAUUAAAUACAUUGCAUUAGAUUGUAUUUAUUUUAGCAUAUCCUUAACUUUAAUAUAGAUAAUAAUUUCUAAUUGAAAAAAAAUGAUGAUGAUGAUGAUAAUAAUA
This 13570-nucleotide long non-coding RNA is filed under the name Citrus x clementina. RNAcentral's name for it is "Citrus clementina (C. clementina) long non-coding RNA (CCLE_LNC001426)". The record is from RNAcentral. Lineage: Eukaryota; Viridiplantae; Streptophyta; Magnoliopsida; Sapindales; Rutaceae.